UACGUAGGUGGCGAGCGUUGUCCGGAUUUACUGGGCGUAAAGGGAGCGUAGGCGGACUUUUAAGUGAGAUGUGAAAUACCCGGGCUCAACUUGGGUGCUGCAUUUCAAACUGGAAGUCUAGAGUGCAGGAGAGGAGAAUGGAAUUCCUAGUGUAGCGGUGAAAUGCGUAGAGAUUAGGAAGAACACCAGUGGCGAAGGCGAUUCUCUGGACUGCAACUGACGCUGAGGCUCGAAAGCGUGGGGAGCAAACAGGAUUAGAUA
RNAcentral lists this ribosomal RNA (261 nucleotides) under uncultured prokaryote. RNAcentral's name for it is "partial 16S ribosomal RNA". It matches the Rfam family "Bacterial small subunit ribosomal RNA", at positions 524 to 784 of the family's 1533-position model. The record is from RNAcentral.